Long non-coding RNA from Lates calcarifer (barramundi perch), 2102 nucleotides. RefSeq lists it as uncharacterized. The transcript is spliced from 5 exons. The record is from RefSeq and is a predicted model, not a curated record. Lineage: Eukaryota; Metazoa; Chordata; Actinopteri; Centropomidae.
GAUGAGAGAGACGCUGUCCAUGAUCAGAGACAUUGUCCCAUGCUUCGUAGAGACCUUGCGAUAGAAUCGGCGGAGACGGGGGUCACCGAUUUGACGGCACUGCCCGCGAUCAUGGAAACAUUGUCAAUGAUUACAGAGACAGCGUCUAUGAUCUCAGAGACAUCGUCCACGAUCACAAAGACAUUGUCCAUGAUCGCAGAGACUUUGUCCAUAAUCUCAGAGACAUUGUCCGUGAUCACAGAGACCUAGUCCGCGAUCACAGAGAUGUAGUCCAUGAUCACAGAGAGUCUUUGACAAUGAAGUUGUUCUUUCAGACCAAGACAGAGGCCUCCAGGUGUCACCACUUCGUCCACAAGAUCAUCCACGAUCACAGAGACAUGGUCCAUGAUCGGAGAGACAUUGUUGAGGAUGAGGGAGACAUCGUCCACGAUCAGAGACGUUGUCCAUGAUCACAGAGACCUUGUCAAAGAUGAGAGAGACGUUGUCCAUGAUCAGAGACAUUGUCCCAUGCUUCGUAGAGACCUUGCGAUAGAAUCGGCGGAGACGGGGGUCACCGAUUUGACGGCACUGCCCGCGAUCAUGGAAACAUUGUCAAUGAUUACAGAGACAGCGUCUAUGAUCUCAGAGACAUCGUCCACGAUCACAAAGACAUUGUCCAUGAUCGCAGAGACUUUGUCCAUAAUCUCAGAGACAUUGUCCGUGAUCACAGAGACCUAGUCCGCGAUCACAGAGAUGUAGUCCUUGAUCACAGAGAGUCUUUGACAAUGAAGUUGUUCUUUCAGACCAAGACAGAGGCCUCCAGGUGUCACCACUUCGUCCACAAGAUCAUCCACGAUCACAGAGACAUGGUCCAUGAUCGGAGAGACAUUGUUGAGGAUGAGGGAGACAUCGUCCACGAUCAGAGACGUUGUCCAUGAUCACAGAGACCUUGUCAAAGAUGAGAGAGACGUUGUCCAUGAUCAGAGACAUUGUCCCAUGCUUCGUAGAGACCUUGCGAUAGAAUCGGCGGAGACGGGGGUCACCGAUUUGACGGCACUGCCCGCGAUCAUGGAAACAUUGUCAAUGAUUACAGAGACAGCGUCUAUGAUCUCAGAGACAUCGUCCACGAUCACAAAGACAUUGUCCAUGAUCGCAGAGACUUUGUCCAUAAUCUCAGAGACAUUGUCCGUGAUCACAGAGACCUAGUCCGCGAUCACAGAGACGUAGUCCAUGAUCACAGAGAGUCUUUGACAAUGAAGUUGUUCUUUCAGACCAAGACAGAGGCCUCCAGGUGUCACCACUUCGUCCACAAGAUCAUCCACGAUCACAGAGACAUGGUCCAUGAUCGGAGAGACAUUGUUGAGGAUGAGGGAGACAUCGUCCACGAUCAGAGACGUUGUCCAUGAUCACAGAGACCUUGUCAAAGAUGAGAGAGACGUUGUCCAUGAUCAGAGACAUUGUCCCAUGCUUCGUAGAGACCUUGCGAUAGAAUCGGCGGAGACGGGGGUCACCGAUUUGACGGCACUGCCCGCGAUCAUGGAAACAUUGUCAAUGAUUACAGAGACAGCGUCUAUGAUCUCAGAGACAUCGUCCACGAUCACAAAGACAUUGUCCAUGAUCGCAGAGACUUUGUCCAUAAUCUCAGAGACAUUGUCCGUGAUCACAGAGACCUAGUCCGCGAUCACAGAGAUGUAGUCCUUGAUCACAGAGAGUCUUUGACAAUGAAGUUGUUCUUUCAGACCAAGACAGAGGCCUCCAGGAUACAGAUGGAAUCUGGAGGCCAGGUCACAGAGACCCAACUGGGCACCCUGAACCGUAACCCGUGGCUAAAAGCUGUAACCCUAAGCGUAUAGGUUUUAGACAUGUUUUUGUAAGGUUUUAUACUUAUUUUAAACCUUUUUUUUUAAGGGUUUCUAUUUUAUUCUAAAUUAAGGUUUUAUAUUUUAUUAUACAUAUUUUUUUACUUAUUUUCUGCAGCUACAUUAAUGAAAAAUACGAAUUAAUACUAAUUGAAACUGAUAAGUUAGAGCAGCUGUGUGUUUUAAAGUGUCUGUAAACUGCAGCUGAGGUAAUGACAGAAUCAGAAUGAAAAGAAUAAACUAAUACUGACCUGGAAAUGUUUU